RNAcentral lists this ribosomal RNA (496 nucleotides) under uncultured bacterium. RNAcentral's name for it is "partial 16S ribosomal RNA". It matches the Rfam family "Bacterial small subunit ribosomal RNA", at positions 30 to 523 of the family's 1533-position model. The record is from RNAcentral.
AUUGAACGCUGGCGGAAUGCUUUACACAUGCAAGUCGAACGGUAGAGGGGGCAACCCCUCGAGAGUGGCGAACGGGUGAGUAAUAUAUCGGAACGUGCCCAGUCGUGGGGGAUAACGUAGCGAAAGUUACGCUAAUACCGCAUACGAUCUAAGGAUGAAAGCGGGGGAUGGCAAGACCUCGCGCGAUUGGAGCGGCCGAUAUCAGAUUAGGUAGUUGGUGGGGUAAAGGCUCACCACGCCAACGAUCUGUAGCUGGUCUGAGAGGACGACCAGCCACACUGGAACUGAGACACGGUCCAGACUCCUACGGGAGGCAGCAGUGGGGAAUUUUGGACAAUGGACGCAAGUCUGAUCCAGCCAUUCCGCGUGCAGGAUGAAGGCCCUCGGGUUGUAAACUGCUUUUGUACGGAACGAAAAGGUCUCUCUUAAUACGGGGGACUCAUGACGGUACCGUAAGAAUAAGCACCGGCUAACUACGUGCCAGCCGCCGCGGUAA